CAAAUUAGAGCUUGAGUUAAAGUAUUUCAUUUACAUUGAAAAGAUAUUAAAAAUAAUUGAUUUGA
RNAcentral lists this transfer RNA (65 nucleotides) under Dudusa nobilis. RNAcentral's name for it is "tRNA-Val". Lineage: Eukaryota; Metazoa; Arthropoda; Insecta; Lepidoptera; Notodontidae. The record is from RNAcentral.